Molecule: ribosomal RNA, 240 nt
Filed under: uncultured bacterium
Lineage: Bacteria
Description: partial 16S ribosomal RNA
Rfam family: Bacterial small subunit ribosomal RNA
Source: RNAcentral
UGAGGAACAUGACCUUCGGCGGGGGAUAGCCGGCCCAACGGCCGGGUAAUACCGCGUACGACCUUUCGGGGACAUCCCCGGAUGGUGAAAGCAGCAAUGCGCCGAUGGAGUGCCUCGCGGCCUAUCAGCUAGUUGGUGAGGUAACGGCUCACCAAGGCAACGACGGGUAGCUGGUCUGAGAGGAUGGCCAGCCANAUUGGGACUGAGACACGGCCCAGACCUCCGUACGGGAGGNACGCG